AUUUGGAUAGUUUAAAGAAAAUUUUGAUUUGUGGUGUCAAAGAUGCUGAAAAGUUUCAAAUA
This 62-nucleotide transfer RNA is filed under the name Agrilus sichuanus. RNAcentral's name for it is "tRNA-His". The record is from RNAcentral. Lineage: Eukaryota; Metazoa; Arthropoda; Insecta; Coleoptera; Buprestidae.